RNAcentral lists this long non-coding RNA (489 nucleotides) under Setaria viridis. RNAcentral's name for it is "long non-coding RNA (SVIR_LNC005162)". Lineage: Eukaryota; Viridiplantae; Streptophyta; Magnoliopsida; Poales; Poaceae. The record is from RNAcentral.
UUUUUUUUCGCUGUUAGUUCUUGUCUGGAAUAUCUUCGAUUUUUUCUGUAUGUUGUCUUAGUGUUUUUUUACUGUUGUCAUCAAAUUUUUCGGUUGUUUCUGUAUUGUUUUCAGUUUUUUAUUGUUUUGUCAGCCAUUUUUUUCGGUUGUUUCAAUUUCCCUUUUCCAUCGUUUCUUUGUGCUUGCGCUCAGAAUCCAGUGAAUUUAGGCUUUCGCGUCACUCAUUUUUUUCUCCCAAUUACUACUACGUGGUUUGAUUGUAUUGGUUGAAAAAUGGAGUGAAACUAAAAUAAAAAUCACUCGAUUGCUACCUAUCAUUCCCGUUCGUCUCUUCGUCUUUCCCGAUCGCUCGACUAGGGCGGCAGGGCGCCGGCGCACCGUGACUGCCGUCGAGUGCAGGCUGCAGACUGCGGACUCCGGACUCCGGAGUGCGCCGAGUGCCGGCUGGGAUUGGUGGCGAGGCACCUUCCGUGUUGUCGCCUCCUUGAA